UGGGGAAUCUUGCGCAAUGGGCGAAAGCCUGACGCAGCGACGCCGCGUGGGUGAUGAAGGCCUUCGGGUUGUAAAGCCCUGUGGGGAGAGACGAAUAAGGCCAGUCGAACAGGCUGGUUGAUGACGGUAUCUCCUUAGCAAGCACCGGCUAACUCUGUGCCAGCAGCCGCGGUAAUACAGAGGGUGCAAACGUUGUUCGGAAUUACUGGGCGUAAAGCGUGUGUAGGCGGCUUGGCAGGUCGGACGUGAAAGCCUUCGGCUCAACCGGAGAAGUGCGUUCGAAACCGCCAAGCUUGAGUGUCGGAGAGGAAGGCGGAAUUGUCGGUGUAGAGGUGAAAUUCGUAGAUAUCGACAGGAACACCUGUGGCGAAAGCGGCCUUCUGGACGAACACUGACGCUGAGACACGAAAGCGUGGGGAGCAAACAG
RNAcentral lists this ribosomal RNA (427 nucleotides) under uncultured bacterium. RNAcentral describes it as "bacterial SSU rRNA". It matches the Rfam family "Bacterial small subunit ribosomal RNA", at positions 355 to 775 of the family's 1533-position model. The record is from RNAcentral.